AGCAGCCGCGGUAAUACGUAUGGUGCAAGCGUUAUCCGGAUUUACUGGGUGUAAAGGGAGCGUAGACGGAUGGGCAAGUCUGAUGUGAAAACCCGGGGCUCAACCCCGGGACUGCAUUGGAAACUGUUCAUCUAGAGUGCUGGAGAGGUAGGUGGAAUUCCUAGUGUAGCGGUGAAAUGCGUAGAUAUUAGGAGGAACACCAGUGGCGAAGGCGGCUUACUGGACAGUAACUGACGUUGAGGCUCGAAAGCGUGGGGAGCAAACAGGAUUAGAUACCCUGGUAGUCCACGCCGUAAACGAUGACUACUAGGUGUCGGGUGGCAAAGCCAUUCGGUGCCGCAGCAAACGCAAUAAGUAGUCCACCUGGGGAGU
RNAcentral lists this ribosomal RNA (372 nucleotides) under uncultured bacterium. Its description in RNAcentral is "bacterial SSU rRNA". It matches the Rfam family "Bacterial small subunit ribosomal RNA", at positions 510 to 881 of the family's 1533-position model. The record is from RNAcentral.